Molecule: ribosomal RNA, 1302 nt
Filed under: Naegleria sp. COHH 103
Lineage: Eukaryota; Heterolobosea; Eutetramitea; Acrasida; Naegleriidae
Description: SSU rRNA
Rfam family: Eukaryotic small subunit ribosomal RNA
Source: RNAcentral
UGAUCCUGCCAGUACUAUAUGCUUGUCUCAAAGCCUAGCCAUGCAAAUGUAAGAUCAAUCAUAUGCGGUUUCGGCCGUGUAUAAUGAUAGUCUGUGGAAGGCUCAUUAUAACAGUUAUACUCCUAGCCACUGGAAAGUUUACAAGGAUACCACCGUUAACUGCAGCGAUAAUACUUGUUCCCUUCGGGGUGGUAAUAGUAUUUGUGCUGAAGCCUAGCUAUUGUAACCUAGUUUUUCGGGUGUGGCAACAUAUUCGGGGGAUUAGGAAUCGACCGCUAGCAGGUGCCUUCGGGCGCGGGAAAGUGAAUUAACAAGGUUUUCAUAAGGCCUUUCAGGUUUGCUUUUUCUAGUGGCCAGGCAGAGGAGUUUCUUACCUAUCAGCUCGUUGUUUGUUUAAAGGACAAACCAGGCUUUGACGGGUACGGGGAAUCAGUGUUCGAUUCCGGAGAGGGAGCCUGAGAAAUCGCUACCACAUCUAAGGACGGCAGCAGGCGCGCAAAUUACCCAAUCUCAAUACGAGGAGGUAGUGACAAGCUAUAGUGACUCCACACCAUUCGGUGGGGAGGUAUUGUCUUCUGACGAUUUUCCAUGAUUUGGGUGUAGAUAACCCUUAGAGUAGCCAUUGGAGGAAAAGUCUGGUGCCAGCACCCGCGGUAAUUCCAGCUCCAAGAGCGUAUAUUAAUACUGCUGUAGUUAAAACGCCCGUAGUAUACCUAAGAGUGGGUGUGUAGUAAUUAGUUUUACCAGAGGACGGUUGGCGAGAGUUUAUCACUCUUGUUUGCCUACUUUUGGUAGACUUUAGUCGGGCUGGAUCUUUGGUCCUCGUCUGACAGUUGCUACGUACUUACUUACCACGGUUCAUCCGUGAGGCCCUUGGCUUGCAACUGUAAAUAAAUCGUUGUGCUUAAAGCGGGCUAUGAUACUCUGCCAGAGCGAUUUAGCAUGGGACUGCAGAGUAGCUGUAUUUGAGCGAAGGUUGCACCUCGGUGUGGCUGGAGCUUGGUACAGCGCUUGUAGUGGAGCUCAGGGUGAGGCCCCGGGUACCAUGAGGCUAGAGGUGAAAUUCUGAGACCCUCAUGUGACCAACUAAGGCGAAAGCUGUCGUGGGCCACCACAAGCUCGUCUAUCAGGGACGAAAGUUGGGGGAUCGAAGACGAUUAGAUACCGUCGUAGUCCCAACUAUAAACGAUACCAACCGAGUAUUUGGGAAGACACUAUCCCAGCGAUCUUCUCAGAACUCAAGGGAAACCUUAAGUCUUUGGGUUCUGGGGGGAGUAUAGUCGCAAGACCGAAACUUAAAGG